AGGAUGAACGCUGGCGGCGUGCUUAACACAUGCAAGUCGAGCGACAGCGCCUCUUUCGGGGGUGUAUGGAGCGGCGAACGGGUGAGUAACACGUGAGUAACCUGCCCCAGUCUUUGGGAUAACCCUCGGAAACGGGGGCUAAUACCGGAUGUUCACCAUGUGCGGCAUCGUGUGUGGUGGAAAGUUUUUCGGUCUGGGAUGGGCUCGCGGCCUAUCAGCUUGUUGGUGGGUGAUGGCCUACCAAGGCGACGACGGGUA
This 258-nucleotide ribosomal RNA is filed under the name uncultured bacterium. RNAcentral describes it as "partial small subunit ribosomal RNA". It matches the Rfam family "Bacterial small subunit ribosomal RNA", at positions 26 to 285 of the family's 1533-position model. The record is from RNAcentral.